CUGCAUCCACUGAUAGACCUUGAACAGUCUGCUGUUGUUCUUUUGGUUUGCACUAGGAUGCGAAAGAAAAGUCCCUGCGCUUUCUGUCUGUCUGUGUGGCAGCCCAGAUUGAAUAGGGGAAUACACCU
Small nucleolar RNA from Camelus dromedarius (Arabian camel), 128 nucleotides. NCBI's taxonomy places the organism in Eukaryota, Metazoa, Chordata, Mammalia, Artiodactyla, Camelidae. The record is from Ensembl.